AGACACAAAAGAGGAUGAAGCUUCUUCAUAACCACACUGAUGGUGACAAGUCACCUCUUAUGGAACAUUCUCCCAUCACACCAGAACAGGAUGAUGAGGAUGGUAUAUGGGCCUAAGCCAAGGUCUUCCUCUAUACUGCUACCCCAAGUUCCCUCAUGCAUACAUAUUGUGUUUUUCUGAUCAGUUCCAUGGAGGGGUUCACAGCGUGACUUUGUGAAGACUGGUUGACCCGCAAGUUUUCAAAUAUUUCUUCAGCUCCAGUCUUAAUUGACACAUCUUCUUACUUUGUGGUCAUUGAUUAACUGUGACAUAAGCAAUAUUAAAUAGAGAUCUCUUUUUUAAAAUAUGAUUAAGUAUUUAUUAAGAAUAUAACAACAUAAUCACAGAAUUACUAGUAAAUCAAGAGCAUUAUGACCAAUAGAUUUGUCUUGUUAUGCAGGACUCGAUGACAGGGGUUCUAUGAACCCAAAUUUUUUUUAUGAAAAAUCUAUCAUUAACCAAAUUUCUCACUGAAAUGGAAAUUAACCAAUGGUAAUUGCAUACUUGCAAUCGAAAAAUGAUAUGUUACUGUCAUUUUGAAGGAGAAAAGAGCUCCCUUAACAAUGUGUAAAGAGCACCAUAUUUCAUUUCUUCAUGCAUAAACUAUGACAAUUUGUACACACAGUGUAUAUUUCGAAGCUCUCCACAUUUGUAAAGUUGUGCAUGGGUCUGUUAAAGAGACUAAUUGAUUGUAAUGCAUGUACACAGUUUUAAAAAGUAUAUACAUGGAUAGUAACUAAUCCCAUAAAGGAGAAUUAGGGUUUGAAAUGGUCUCUUUCAUAACAAUCUUAACUUUGCAAUAUCAAUUGAGCAAUCAGAGACGGGCAGAGAGCCUCUCUGUUUUAUCUUGUCUUGCAGAAUGCAAGCAGAAAUUAUUUCUUUAUUCUUUGUUGGAAUCAAGCCUUCCAUGUGGGGAUGGUUUGUGAGCAAUCUUAUCUUGGUGCUCUGAUGAUAUCACAAUUUAUAUGAUUCUAUAUUGAAAUAUCAAAACUUCUAAGAGUACUAGAUUAUCGGUGCAUUCCACUUUGCUUUUGUUUUCUUUUAAUCGUGGUACUUCAGACUGGAUACAGUUCUAGACAAAAAAAGCAAAAUAUUUACACUUAUUUUGAAUCCUGUAUUUACAGAAGUACUGUUAAAUGUCUAUAUCAUUUAUUUCAAAGUAAGUUUUUUGUAUGAUUACUUUCUUAGAUGUGGGUGCUCUAUUUUCUGAUUGAUUUACACUGAAGUGAAAUGGGAUAUUUAAGAAAGAAAAACUCUUCCCCACAAAACAAGAAAGACAAGGAAAGUGUAUGAAGAAACAUAGUACCUUCUUUAAAUAUUCAAUGUACAAUAUUUUCCCCAACAAUUUCUUUUCCAUCUGAGCAUUACAUCUCGGUUUCAAACACAUUUUCUUUCAAUUUGUUUAUAUUCUUGUGACAUGUGCUUACUGAUGACUAAAGAGAGUUUGAAUGUGAAAGAUAAACCAAAUUAAGCAAAGUCAGGGAAAGACAGCACAGUUCCAAGUAAGAAAAAAAAUCCACCAUCCUGCACGGGAAAGGGAAGAAAGUACAGGACGAUCUGAAACAGACAGUUUUUUUUCUUUAUGGAAUACCAACCUGCACCCACUACACCCUAUCACAGUCACACCUCCAUAUGGGUUCGUUGGUAUCUAUCCCAAAUAUGGAAAUUAACAUUGACCUUUUGACCUCACCCUUGACCCGCUGACAUUGACUUCGCACCUGUGUAAGGUUUGAUGACGGUUGAUGUGCGAGUGUCAUUUUACAGAGGCGCGUUGAGAUCGCACUAGGGAGGUGAUAUAACCUUACGCCUUGCAAAAAGAGAUGGGUAUAUCAUGAAAUAUAGGAUACAGAAAUGGAAAAUAUAAACAGACUACUUCAUUGUUCAUGUAGAUCAUUGGAUGUAUUUUUAGCAAAAUGAAUAGCAAGGGACAUUCUCCUUAUAAACACAAUGGUUCUUUGUAUAAUCUUCAGAAUCAUUGUUAAAUUCUUACUUAUGUUUCAGACUGAGCUAUAAGGAGAAAAUAUUUCUCUGAAAUAUAUCUGGACCCUGUCGCAUAAAGACUGGCAUUCGAUUGCAAAUUUUGAACAACGAUUCUGAUUGGUUGAUAGCGUAUGUGUUUUGCAGGGCCCAAGGGUUGGUGACACUAACAAAAUGCAAUUAACAGGUGUUUGAAACAAAUUCAAUUUAUCAUAUGACACCUAGAUAGAUCCUUGUCAUUUGAUUGGUUGUUUGAUAUCAAUCAUUCAGCCCAUUUUACAAUGACGUCAUCAUCUUUGCAAUUUCGGAUCCAUUCAUCGUGCAAGUUUGGAUGCAUGCGAUUUUGUCCAUUGCACGCGCGCACCGAGAGCGCAGGCACCCCAAGUAAAAACAGUGUUUGCAACGUGUGUGUUGCAUGUAUGCGACAGUCAACAGACCAAGCUCGCACUGCAAGAGCAUAUUUUGCAUCAAAAUUCAUAAAUUUCAAAUGAAAAAGGAUCUAUUUUUGCCAUUCAUGAAAUAUUCUGUCCAUUGCAUCCAUAAACAUUCAUUAUUUGUAUAAUAAUUGACUAUGCUCCUUAUCCCCAUAUUCUUGUUUGAUAAUAAUACUAAUAAAACUGAUUAUUUUGCACACCAAACAAUUGUCCAUAA
Molecule: long non-coding RNA, 2667 nt
Organism: Lytechinus pictus (painted urchin)
Lineage: Eukaryota; Metazoa; Echinodermata; Echinoidea; Temnopleuroida; Toxopneustidae
Exons: 4
Source: RefSeq, a predicted model, not a curated record